AAAUUGAAGAGUUUGAUCAUGGCUCAGAUUGAACGCUGGCGGCAGGCCUAACACAUGCAAGUCGAACGGUAACAGGAAGCAGCUUGCUGCUUCGCUGACGAGUGGCGGACGGGUGAGUAAUGUCUGGGAAACUGCCUGAUGGAGGGGGAUAACUACUGGAAACGGUGGCUAAUACCGCAUAACGUCGCAAGACCAAAGAGGGGAACCUUCGGGCCUCUUGCCAUCAGAUGUGCCCAGAUGGGAUUAGCUAGUUGGUGAGGUAACGGCUCACCAAGGCGACGAUCCCUAGCUGGUCUGAGAGGAUGACCAGCCACACUGGAACUGAGACACGGUCCAGACUCCUACGGGAGGCAGCAGUGGGGAAUAUUGCACAAUGGGCGCAAGCCUGAUGCAGCCAUGCCGCGUGUAUGAAGAAGGCCUUCGGGUUGUAAAGUACUUUCAGCGGGGAGGAAGGUGUUGUGGUUAAUAACC
Molecule: ribosomal RNA, 471 nt
Filed under: Salmonella enterica
Lineage: Bacteria; Pseudomonadati; Pseudomonadota; Gammaproteobacteria; Enterobacterales; Enterobacteriaceae
Description: bacterial SSU rRNA
Rfam family: Bacterial small subunit ribosomal RNA
Source: RNAcentral